GAUGAACGCUGGCGGCGUGCCUAAUACAUGCAAGUCGAGCGAACGGACGAGAAGCUUGCUUUUCUGAUGUUAGCGGCGGACGGGUGAGUAACACGUGGAUAACCUACCUAUAAGACUGGGAUAACUUCGGGAAACCGGAGCUAAUACCGGAUAAUAUUUUGAACCGCAUGGUUCAUAAGUGAAAGACGGUCUUGCUGUCACUUAUAGAUGGAUCCGCGCUGCAUUAGCUAGUUGGUAAGGUAACGGCUUACCAAGGCAACGAUGCAUAGCCGACCUGAGAGGGUGAUCGGCCACACUGGAACUGAGACACGGUCCAGACUCCUACGGGAGGCAGCAGUAGGGAAUCUUCCGCAAUGGGCGAAAGCCUGACGGAGCAACGCCGCGUGAGCGAUGAAGGUCUUCGGAUUGUAAAACUCUGUUAUUAGGGAAGAACAUAUGUGUAAGUAACUGUGCACAUCUUGACGGUACCUAAUCAGAAAGCCACGGCUAACUACGUG
Molecule: ribosomal RNA, 497 nt
Filed under: uncultured bacterium
Lineage: Bacteria
Description: partial 16S ribosomal RNA
Rfam family: Bacterial small subunit ribosomal RNA
Source: RNAcentral